Gasterosteus aculeatus aculeatus (three-spined stickleback) is the source of this 765-nucleotide long non-coding RNA. NCBI's taxonomy places the organism in Eukaryota, Metazoa, Chordata, Actinopteri, Perciformes, Gasterosteidae. The record is from Ensembl.
GCCAAGCAGAGAAGGAAUUGCCGCACAGAAGGAGUAAUAUAAAGAAAGCGAGCAAGUGAGAGUAACAGUAAACAGGCGAAUGAUCGAUGAGCGCCUGACGUGACUCAGCUCUCGGGUGUCGGCCAGCAUUUCCAUGACCAGCGAGCCGCCUACGCGACGAAGACAAACGACCCGGCAAUGAGGGAAAAUGAGGGUUUUAUCACCCGUUUCCCUCUCACACCGUUGCUGGCCGACGCUCCCCAAACUGCUUGUGUGUGUGUGUGUGUGUGUGUGUGUGUUUAACCAAAUGUGUGUCCCGUCUUCCUGAAAGGCUGGCUUGUGGUCAUGCGCUGGCCCGAGGGAGCAGUUUAGAGAAAUCACUCACUCAGCUGGAGACUUGUGGAGAAAUGCCUAAAGGUCUUAAACAGCUGUACGUUACCUGGGAUCCUAUGCGCGUAUAUAUAUGUGUGUGUGUGUGUGUCUGUGUGUGUGUGCAAGGGAGUGUGUUUAAAAGGACAUUUAUCUCAUCACGGAUAUAAUUACACUGCCCCGGGAUAGAGGGGAGUUAUACAGUUCUCCCUCCUCUCUCUCUCGAGCCCCUCUAUCCCUCCCUUUCACCCUCACUCUUCCUCUCGUACCUUCCCUUCAUUAUCCAGGCAAGGAAAGACGAUCCGCCUCCACCUUCUUCGGAAGUCAUUAUGGGAUUAGCUCAUUCCCAGAGUAUGGAUCUCUUUCCUUGGAGGCCUUGGAGGGGGCUCCCCUGUUCCUCGCUUCCCCAGACCCGGC